This 320-nucleotide ribosomal RNA is filed under the name uncultured Prevotella sp. RNAcentral describes it as "partial 16S ribosomal RNA". Lineage: Bacteria; Pseudomonadati; Bacteroidota; Bacteroidia; Bacteroidales; Prevotellaceae. The record is from RNAcentral.
GGAGUUUGGUCCGUGUCUCAGUACCAAUGUGGGGGACCUUCCUCUCAGAACCCCUACUGAUCGUCGCCUUGGUGGGCCGUUACCCCGCCAACAAGCUAAUCAGACGCAUCCCCAUCCUAUAGCGGUGAACCUUUGCUUCUCGUCAGAUGCCAUCAAAGAAGAACAUAGAGCAUUAAUUCGACUUUCGCCGGGCUAUUCUCUACUAUAGGGAAGGUUGGAUACGCGUUACUCACCCGUGCGCCGGUCGCCAUCAAUCUUAGCAAGCUAAGAUCAUGAUGCCCCUCGACUUGCAUGUGUUAAGCCUGUAGCUAGCGUUCAUC